RNAcentral lists this long non-coding RNA (2020 nucleotides) under Phasianus colchicus (ring-necked pheasant). Its description in RNAcentral is "lncRNA (ENSPCLG00000008588.1)". The record is from RNAcentral. Lineage: Eukaryota; Metazoa; Chordata; Aves; Galliformes; Phasianidae.
AUGAUGCUAAAAGGCCCAACGCCGUCCAUUAAAACGUUCAACUUGAAAAAGAGUGAACCUGAGAACACGUCGUCCCUGAUCCCAGUGUGGGAGGUGGCAGAGGAACGCAGGCAUGAAUACGCAGAGCGUGCAGCCCGAGGCCGGGCUCAGAGCCAGGAGAGGGAAUCUUCUGUAGCAACAGAUGAAGGAGGAAGAACCCCAAAGGAGUCCCACCAGUACUUUGCCAGAUGGGAACUGGAGCCAGGUGUGCAAAUCCGGACCUGCUGGUGGAUGAUGGAGCCGCGCUGGUCCUGGAGCCCCAGCAGCACGGGCUGCAGGUUGCAGCUCUGCCCAUCGCUGGGAGCACCAGGAGGAACGCGAAGCCAAAGAGCUCCGACAGGUGCCUGCACCGAUUCUGCAGCCCAUGGCAGGUUUAGAAAGCUGAGAAGUGAAUCUGUUGAUAACAAAAUUCUAAAGCCCUGGUGUUGGUACAGCAGCCCUCCGUUAACACUGGGCAUUGAGCAGCAUGGGAGCCAACAGCAGAACUGUCAGAGCUCAAAUUGUUCAGAAGAGUUCCAUCUGUGCUGAAAUAAUGGGACAAAACGAGAAUCAAAGGUUAUGGACUUCGAUAUCAGCAUAUAUCUGAUAGGAGUCACAUACCCGAUCCCAGCUCCACCCCAUACAAGCACCUAUAUUGGGGUGACACAGAUGAGCCAAAUGGUCACUUCCACAUUUUAUGCACAAAGAAGUCAAAUCCCAAACGUCCAUUUUGAGUUCCACUUAAACGCAAUGUCUUAACGCACUCAGUUACGUGGGAGCGCCUGCGCAGAGCUGUGUGUGGCACACUGCGGGCCCUCGUGGAGAUUCUGCAAGCCAGGAAGGCCUGGGAUGUGCUCUGUGGAUCUGCAGAAUGCCUUAACCCCACCCAGGGGGCAGCGUGGGGCACAGAACCGCCUCCAAACUGAGAUCCCCCUUAACUCAGACCCCGGUCCUGUGUGUGUGCGGCACAGGGUCCAGCUGUUGGUUAGACUUCCUUAUGGUGUUUUCUUUAAUGAGAAAGCUGUACAGGACAGGUCCACGUGUAAAUAAGGGAUUACGUUUAUGUAGAUGUUAAUAUUUACAUGUAAAAAGUUAUGUACAUAGGAAAGAAAAUAAUGGCUCAAAGAAUGUUUUAAAAAUAGUUUCUUCUGUCUAAAGGCACAGAAGGACAGCGACACAGACGUGCUGCUGAGCUCAACGUAAGCUCAGCUUCGUGCUCGGCUUGGGGAUGCUCAGGGCUCAGUCCUGGGGGCUGAGGGGCUCUGGGCAGCCCUGCUCCAAACGGUGGAGGGACACACACUGAACGUGUUGCCCACUCACUGCUGCUCUGCUAUGGCAGCCUUAUUUCACCUACCGGAGUUUGGAAAGAGCGUGCAGUGUGUUAUCAGCAGCACAGGGAGCUUCUGGAGGAAUGCCAAAGGAGUCAAGGUGCUCCCAGUUCGGGUACUGCAGCGCUGGGCAGAGGCACGGCCUGGGCUGGACUGAUGCAACACAGCUGAACUAAGAGCCACUCGGAUCUCAGCUCACCUGGCUGCAGGAGCGUGGCGUCAGUGAGUGCCGUGCUCCAGCAGCACCCCAGCUUUCAGCGCAUCCCCGAGUGCCUUACGCAGCUCCUAAACGGAGCCACCGGCAGCCCAGGGGCUCAGGAAUCUGUGUUGUGAAUAGUGCAGCACAGCCUGUACUGAUGCGUGGUAUGUUUGCUAGAAAGGAAUGCUGAACAUCGAGGCGAACCAGAGAAAGUGGUUCCCCCGGCCGCUGCGCUGUGUGCUGUGCUCUGUAACCUCCAGCAGCCACAUCCCGAGUGCAGAACGUUGGGUCGGUGCCGCGGCAAUGACUGCUGGGCCCAAGGCGGGGCUGCAUCGAUCAAUUACAGAAUUUUACACAUAUUUUUGUAUUGUGAUUCAUAUGAUAUAUAUCAAGAGACUUUCUAUUCAUUUGUAAAAUACAUAAAUUAUUGUAAACUUUUAAUAAAAAGAGCUGUUUUAAACCUUAAAAUCGGUGA